This 524-nucleotide ribosomal RNA is filed under the name uncultured bacterium. RNAcentral describes it as "bacterial SSU rRNA". It matches the Rfam family "Bacterial small subunit ribosomal RNA", at positions 8 to 518 of the family's 1533-position model. The record is from RNAcentral.
AGAGUUUGAUCCUGGCUUAGGACGAACGCUGGCGGCGUGCCUAACACAUGCAAGUCGAGCGGGGACAUGCGACGGAUAGGAAGAUUCGGUUGGACUUGAAGAUGCAUUGUUCUAGCGGCGGACGGGUGAGUAACGCGUGAGCAACCUGUCCCUUACAGGGGGAUAACACAGCGAAAGUUGUACUAAUACCGCAUGAGACCACGGGAGGACAUCCUUCAGGGGUCAAAGGAGCAAUCCGGUAAGGGGUGGGCUCGCGUCCGAUUAGAUAGUUGGUGAGGUAACGGCCCACCAAGUCGACGAUCGGUAGCCGACCUGAGAGGGUGAUCGGCCACAUUGGGACUGAGACACGGCCCAAACUCCUACGGGAGGCAGCAGUGGGGAAUAUUGGGCAAUGGGGGAAACCCUUGACCCAGCAACGCCGCGUGAGGGAAGAAGGUUUUCGGAUCGUAAACCUCUGUCCUUGGUGAAGAGGAAGAGACGGUAGCCAAGGAGGAAGCCCCGGCUAACUACGUGCCAGCAGCUGC